AUAUAACUGUUAUAAUUUAAAGCUUGCUCUAGACCUCAACUUGUGGGAUGAAAACUUGAUCUGAAGUCUAAGUUGUUAACGGAUACGAUAUGGGAAGGUUGAGCUGCUGUUUAUCUGUUCCUAGAGAUGCUAGAAUUCUGGAGAAUUUUAUCUUUAAAAAUCUUUAAAAUGUUGCAUGAUGAGUUCCUGUAUGAUGAGAGUUUAAAUUCCUACCACAGCCAUAUAUACAUGCUUGCUAGACUUUGAGCCACACAUUUACUAUUUACUGCUUAUGAGCAUUGAGUGUGGUCAAGCUGUGUAGACCCUUAGGAGCUUGUCAUGUGGUUAAAUCAAGAUUCACUUGCACGUUCACUCACAUAUGUUGCUUCUACUCCGGAAGUACCAUCCACAUAUAUCCAUCCAUUUCCAUCUCCAGAACCACCCAAAAAUAUUCUACUCCUAAUCCGGGAGAGAAUGACAAAAAAAAUAUAUUUCUAUUUGUCCCUUGUGAAAUAAAUGCUCAAGUUAUCUUAUUACUACCACUUGCUAUAUUAUCUCAAGAGAUGAGUGCUCUAAAAAAAGAAGAAAAGAUACGAGGAAAUAAAAAGGGGCAAGUGCCCGGAACCUCGAAAGAAAAGAAAAAGUGAGACGAGAGGUAAAAAUGGACAAGUGUCCGACAGUAAAAUUAGGGGUACAAGAUACCCACCUGAGAGAAAAGAAAAAUAUAGAGCAUCUCAUUCUCCUCACAAAAAUUUCAAAAAGCAAGGAAGGUAUGUAUCCCCUCAAAGAGCAAAAGUAGAAUUAGACUUUCACCAUUGUCAUCACUAUACACCAUUCAUUCGCCACACAUGCACAUCUUGAUUUGACUUAUUGAUUUGUUUCUUUGGAUCCAUGGUUUGACUAUACAAUAACUGUCUUGUAAGUAUGUAUAAUUUAUCUCCCACCUAUGAGCUCCAGAUAUUAAAGCCUUGUUAGAGUAGGAUGAGAGAGAAGGCAAUGUCACUAUGCCUUAUACCAUACAUACCACAUACUUUUUGAGAGAAGGCAUAUACCAUCACUGCCUUGGUAAGGAUCCAGAAAUACCACAAAAGAGAGAUUUGAGAGAAUCAUACAAGGAAUCUCUGAGUUUUAUUUGAAAAUCUGCAAAAACUCCAGAGCUAUAGCUGAUCAAGAAUAAGAGACAUGGCAC
RNAcentral lists this long non-coding RNA (1168 nucleotides) under Sorghum bicolor (sorghum). RNAcentral's name for it is "long non-coding RNA (SBIC_LNC006588)". The record is from RNAcentral. Lineage: Eukaryota; Viridiplantae; Streptophyta; Magnoliopsida; Poales; Poaceae.